RNAcentral lists this long non-coding RNA (221 nucleotides) under Elaeis guineensis (African oil palm). Its description in RNAcentral is "long non-coding RNA (EGUI_LNC038054)". Lineage: Eukaryota; Viridiplantae; Streptophyta; Magnoliopsida; Arecales; Arecaceae. The record is from RNAcentral.
AAGGUUUUGCUAAAUUGAAAUACGACUAUACACAGCUCUUAAACUGGAGUGGUCAAUCCCAUCUUGACACACGCACCGACAAGUCAAGUACUUGACUACACCCAGCAGCCUUCCGUCACUGAAUUAAAAAUUCAGGUAGUCCAGUGCCUAAGUAUAGUGAGUUGCUUGCAAGUCACCGUGGCGGUCUCAGGUCGGAGGGAUAUUUAUACCCAUAUUCCAUC